RNAcentral lists this transfer RNA (73 nucleotides) under Pleurotus ostreatus PC15. Its description in RNAcentral is "tRNA-Thr (AGT) (tRNA-Thr-AGT-2-1)". It matches the Rfam family "tRNA". From Rfam's summary of the family: Transfer RNA (tRNA) molecules are approximately 80 nucleotides in length. Their secondary structure includes four short double-helical elements and three loops (D, anti-codon, and T loops). Further hydrogen bonds mediate the characteristic L-shaped molecular structure. tRNAs have two regions of fundamental functional importance: the anti-codon, which is responsible for specific mRNA codon recognition, and the 3' end, to which the tRNAs corresponding amino acid is attached (by aminoacyl-tRNA synthetases). tRNAs cope with the degeneracy of the genetic code in two manners: having more than one tRNA (with a specific anti-codon) for a particular amino acid; and 'wobble' base-pairing, i.e. permitting non-standard base-pairing at the 3rd anti-codon position. Lineage: Eukaryota; Fungi; Basidiomycota; Agaricomycetes; Agaricales; Pleurotaceae. The record is from RNAcentral.
UCCGCCUUAGCUCAGCGGUAGUAGCGCUUCACUAGUAAUGAAGAGGUCAGUCGUUCAAAUCGGCUAGGCGGAA